This is a long non-coding RNA of Mustela erminea (ermine), 311 nucleotides long. RefSeq lists it as uncharacterized. The transcript has 3 exons. Lineage: Eukaryota; Metazoa; Chordata; Mammalia; Carnivora; Mustelidae. The record is from RefSeq and is a predicted model, not a curated record.
GCCAUCUGUGUUUAUAAUUGGUACUGGCCAAAGAAGUGAGGCUCCUAUCCUCCUAGAGACUGAUGACCACAUUUCAAAAAGAUAUAUCCCCCUGAGGUGAUCAUUUGCAGUGUUGCUGAGGCAUAGAUUUGAAUUUAAGGUGCUGCUAAACAGGAGCGCUUCAACAAGUAAAUUACCUCGAACUGUUACAGUCCUUGAUGCUCAGCAGUCAUAUGAACAGAGAUUUUGUAGGACCAGAAACAGAAAUCCGAUCACCACUGGCUGGAAAAAUAUAAAAAGGGUUUUUUGGAAUCUUGUCUAUUCUAAGAGUA